GGAGGGUUGUCCGAGCGGCCGAAGGAGCUUGUCUUGAAAACAAGUGGGCGGAAACGUCUCAGGAGUUCGAAUCUCCUACCCUCCGCCA
This 88-nucleotide transfer RNA is filed under the name Leucobacter rhizosphaerae. RNAcentral describes it as "Leucobacter sp. H25R-14 tRNA-Ser". It matches the Rfam family "tRNA". From Rfam's summary of the family: Transfer RNA (tRNA) molecules are approximately 80 nucleotides in length. Lineage: Bacteria; Bacillati; Actinomycetota; Actinomycetes; Micrococcales; Microbacteriaceae. The record is from RNAcentral.